AGCCUGAACGCUGGCGGCGUGGCUAAGACAUGCAAGUCGUACGGUGUAGCAAUACACAGUGGCGAACGGGUGAGUAAUGAAUCGCUAAUGUACCCCGGACUCUGGGAUAGCUGACCGAAAGGGCAGGUAAUACCAGAUGACAUAACCGAACCGCAUGGUUUGGUUCUCAAAGGUCCGCCGGUCUGGGUGCAGGCGAUUUUGUAUCAGCUAGUUGGUGAGGUAACGGCUCACCAAGGCGACGACGCAUAGCCGGACUGAGAGGUUGGCCGGCCACAUUGGGACUGAGACACUGCCCAGACUCCUACGGGGGGCUGCAGUAACGAAUCUUCCGCAAUGCACGAAAGUGUGACGGAGCGACGCCGCGUGUGGGACAAGUCCUCGGGAUGUAAACCACUGUCAGGGGUAAGAAAGUUCUGAUCUACCCCGAGAGGAAGGCACGGCUAACUCUGCGCCAGCAGCCGCGGUA
RNAcentral lists this ribosomal RNA (466 nucleotides) under uncultured bacterium. RNAcentral describes it as "SSU rRNA". It matches the Rfam family "Bacterial small subunit ribosomal RNA", at positions 26 to 522 of the family's 1533-position model. The record is from RNAcentral.